AGAAGUUGUAGGAAAAAGUUGGGCCGAGUGGAAUGAAUGAGGCUGUAGAGGCUUAUUAUAGGGAGAGGGGUCUGGCCCAGUGGAACGAAUGGGAGGGAAAAAUGUUCAUGGAGGGGUGUGUGUGUGGGGGGGUCCAAAUAUUCCUUUAACUGAUCAAAUAGGAGAUAGCUAAUUUUUUUAGCCUAACUGAUCCAAACAAGGGAACAUGAGAAUUGAUUGAUAAAUUCUUGGAAUCGGCCACAUGAUACCCGUCAAUUUCUCAACCAAAGAUCAUUUCUCAAUCAGAAAACCAAAGCUUGUCUACUACUCCAUUCGUUUCAAAAUGCAAGUAGUUUUAAAUUUUCUAUAAAGAUAGGUCCUGCUAUGCACCGAAAUAUAGAGUUAUACCUAGAUAAAUAACAUCUAUAGCCUUAACCAGAGCUUGGAGACCCCUUGCAAGUGUAGCAGCCGCCAUGGGAGUUGGAGGUGUUGUCUAGGGUUUCACUACGACACUACCUGGAAGGCUUAUUAUAGGGAGAAGUUGUAGGGAGAAGUUGGACUUAGUGGAACGAAUGAGGCUGGAGAGGCUUAUUAUAGGGAGAGGGGUCUGGCCCAGUGGAACGAAUGGGAGGGGAAAAUGUUUAUGGAGGGGUGUGUGUGUGUGGGGGGGUCCAAAUAUUCCUUUAACUGAUCAAAUAGGAGAUAGCUAAUUUUUUUAGCCUAACUGAUCCAAACAAGGGAACAUGAGAAUUGAUUGAUAAAUUCUUGGAAUCGGCCACAUGAUACCCGUCAAUUUCUCAACCAAAGAUCAUUUCUCAAUCAGAAAACCAAAGCUUGUCUACUACUCCAUCCGUUUCAAAAUGCAAGUAGUUUUGAAUUUUCUAUACAAAUAGGUCCUGCUAUGCACCUAAAUAUAGAGUUAUACCUAGAUUAAUAACAUCUAUAGCCUUGACCAGAGCUUGGAGACCCCUUGCAACUGUAGCAGCCGCCAUGGGAGUUGGAGGUGUUGUCUAGGGUUUCACUACGACACUACCUGGAAGGCUUAUUAUAGGGAGAAGUUGUAGGGAGAAGUUGGGCCGAGUGGAACGAAUGAGGCUGUAGAGGCUUAUUAUAGGGAGAGGGGUCUGGCCCAAUGGAACGAAUGGGAGGGAAAAAUGUUCAUGGAGGGGUGUGUGUGUGGGGGGGUCCAAAUAUUUCUUUAACUGAUCAAAUAGGAGAUAGCUAAUUUUUUUAGCCUAACUGAUCCAAACAAGGGAACAUGAGAAUUGAUUGAUAAAUUCUUGGAAUCGGCCACAUGAUACCCGUCAAUUUCUCAACCAAAGAUCAUUUCUCAAUCAGAAAACCAAAGCUUGUCUACUACUCCAUCCGUUUCAAAAUGCAAGUAGUUUUGAAUUUUCUAUACAGAUAGGUCCUGCUAUGCACCUAAAUAUAGAGUUGUACCUAGAUAAAUAACAUCUAUACCCUUGACUAGAGCUUGGAGACCCCUUGCAACUGUAGCAUCCGCCAUGGGAGUUGGAGGUGUUGUCUAGGGUUUCACUACGACACUACCUAGAAGGUUUAUUAUAGGGAGAAGUUGUAGGGAGAAGUUGGGCCGAGUGGAACGAAUGAGGCUGUAGAGGCUUAUUAUAGGGAGAGGGGUCUGGCCCAGUGGAACGAAUGGGAGGGAAAAAUAUUCAUGGAGGGGUGUGUGUGUGUGUGGGGGGGGGGGGGGUCCAAAUAUUCUUUAACUGAUAAAAUUGGAGAUAGCUAAUUUUUUUGGCCUAACUGAUCCAAACAAGGGAACAUGAGAAUUGAUUGAUAAAUUCUUGGAAUCGGCCACAUGAUACCCGUCAAUUUCUCAACCAAAGAUCAUUUCUCAAUCAGAAAACAAAAGAUUGUCUACUACUCCAUCCGUUUCAAAAUGCAAGUAGUUUUGAAUUUUCUAUACAGAUAGGUCCUGCUAUGCACCUAAAUAUAGAGUUAUACCUAGAUAAAUAACAUCUAUAGCCUUGACCGGAGCUUGGAGAUCCCUUGCAACUGUAGCAGCCGCCAUGGGAGUUGGAGGUGUUGUCUAGGGUUUCACUACGACACUACCUGGAAGGCUUAUUAUAGGGAGAAGUUGUAGGGAGAAGUUGGGCCGAGUGGAAGGAAUGAGGCUGUAGAGGCUUAUUAUAGGGAGAGGGGUUUGGCCCAGUGGAACGAAUGGGAGGGAAAAAUGUUCAUGGAGGGGUGUGUGGGGGGGGGUCCAAAUAUUUCUUUAACUGAUCAAAUAGGAGAUAGCUAAUUUUUUUAGCCUAACUGAUCCAAACAAGGGAACAUGAGAAUUGAUUGAUAAAUUCUUGGAAUCGGCCACAUGAUACCCGUCAAUUUCUCAACCAAAGAUCAUUUCUCAAUAAGAAAACCAAAGCUUGUCUACUACUCUAUCCGUUUCAAAAUGCAAGUAGUUUUGAAUUUUCUAUACAGAUAGGUCCUGCUAUGCACCUAAAUAUAGAGUUAUACCUAGAUAAAUAACAUCUAUAGCCUUGACCGGAGCUUGGAGAUCCCUUGCAACUGUAGCAGCCGCCAUGGGAGUUGGAGGUGUUGUCUAGGGUUUCACUACGACACUACCUGGAAGGCUUAUUAUAGGGAGAAGUUGUAGGGAGAAGUUGGGCCGAGUGGAAGGAAUGAGGCUGUAGAGGCUUAUUAUAGGGAGAGGGGUUUGGCCCAGUGGAACGAAUGGGAGGGAAAAAUGUUCAUGGAGGGGUGUGUGGGGGGGGGGUCCAAAUAUUUCUUUAACUGAUCAAAUAGGAGAUAGCUAAUUUUUUUAGCCUAACUGAUCCAAACAAGGGAACAUGAGAAUUGAUUGAUAAAUUCUUGGAAUCGGCCACAUGAUACCCGUCAAUUUCUCAACCAAAGAUCAUUUCUCAAUAAGAAAACCAAAGCUUGUCUACUACUCUAUCCGUUUCAAAAUGCAAGUAGUUUUGAAUUUUCUAUACAGAUAGGUCCUGCUAUGCACCUAAAUAUAGAGUUAUACCUAGAUAAAUAACAUCUAUAGCCUUGACCAGAGCUUGGAGACCCCUUGCAACUGUAGCAGCCGCCAUGGGAGUUGGAGGUGUUGUCUAGGGUUUCACUACGACACUACCUGGAAGGCUUAUUAUAGGGAGAAGUUGUAGGGAGAAGUUGGGCCGAGUGGAAGGAAUGAUGCUGUAGAGGCUUAUUAUAGGGAUAGGGGUCUGGCCCAGUGGAACGAAUGGGAGGGAAAAAUGUUCAUGGAGGGGUGUGUGGGGGGGGGUCCAAAUAUUUUUCUUUAACUGAUCAAAUAGGAGAUAGCUAAUUUUUUUAGCCUAACUGAUCCAAACAAGGGAACAUGAGAAUUGAUUGAUAAAUUCUUGGAAUCGGCCACAUGAUACCCGUCAAUUUCUCAACCAAAGAUCAUUUCUCAAUAAGAAAACCAAAGCUUGUCUACUACUCUAUCCGUUUCAAAAUGCAAGUAGUUUUAAAUUUUCUAUAUAGAUAGGUCCUCCUAUGCACCUAAAUAUAGAGUUAUACCUAGAUAAUUAACAUCUAUAGCCUUAACCAGAGCUUGGAGACCCCUUGCAACUGUAGCAGCCGCCAUGAAAGUUGGAGGUGUUGUCUAGGGUUUCACUACGACACUACCUGGAAGGCUUAUUAUAGGGAGAAGUUGUAGGGAGAAGUUGGGCCGAGUGGAAGGAAUGAGGCUGUAGAGGCUUAUUAUAGGGAGAGGGGUUUGGCCCAGUGGAACGAAUGGGAGGGAAAAAUGUUCAUGGAGGGGUGUGUGGGGGGGGGUCCAAAUAUUUCUUUAACUGAUCAAAUAGGAGAUAGCUAAUUUUUUUAGCCUAACUGAUCCAAACAAGGGAACAUGAGAAUUGAUUGAUAAAUUCUUGGAAUCGGCCACAUGAUACCCGUCAAUUUCUCAACCAAAGAUCAUUUCUCAAUAAGAAAACCAAAGCUUGUCUACUACUCUAUCCGUUUCAAAAUGCAAGUAGUUUUGAAUUUUCUAUACAGAUAGGUCCUGCUAUGCACCUAAAUAUAGAGUUAUACCUAGAUAAAUAACAUCUAUAGCCUUGACCGGAGCUUGGAGAUCCCUUGCAACUGUAGCAGCCGCCAUGGGAGUUGGAGGUGUUGUCUAGGGUUUCACUACGACACUACCUGGAAGGCUUAUUAUAGGGAGAAGUUGUAGGGAGAAGUUGGGCCGAGUGGAAGGAAUGAGGCUGUAGAGGCUUAUUAUAGGGAGAGGGGUUUGGCCCAGUGGAACGAAUGGGAGGGAAAAAUGUUCAUGGAGGGGUGUGUGGGGGGGGGGGGGUCCAAAUAUUUCUUUAACUGAUCAAAUAGGAGAUAGCUAAUUUUUUAGCCUAACUGAUCCAAACAAGGGAACAUGAGAAUUGAUUGAUAAAUUCUUGGAAUCGGCCACAUGAUACCCGUCAAUUUCUCAACCAAAGAUCAUUUCUCAAUAAGAAAACCAAAGCUUGUCUACUACUCUAUCCGUUUCAAAAUGCAAGUAGUUUUGAAUUUUCUAUACAGAUAGGUCCUGCUAUGCACCUAAAUAUAGAGUUAUACCUAGAUAAAUAACAUCUAUAGCCUUGACCAGAGCUUGGAGACCCCUUGCAACUGUAGCAGCCGCCAUGGGAGUUGGAGGUGUUGUCUAGGGUUUCACUACGACACUACCUGGAAGGCUUAUUAUAGGGAGAAGUUGUAGGGAGAAGUUGGGCCGAGUGGAAGGAAUGAGGCUGUAGAGGCUUAUUAUAGGGAUAGGGGUCUGGCCCAGUGGAACGAAUGGGAGGGAAAAAUGUUCAUGGAGGGGUGUGUGGGGGGGGGGUCCAAAUAUUUUCUUUAACUGAUCAAAUAGGAGAUAGCUAAUUUUUUUAGCCUAACUGAUCCAAACAAGGGAACAUGAGAAUUGAUUGAUAAAUUCUUGGAAUCGGCCACAUGAUACCCGUCAAUUUCUCAACCAAAGAUCAUUUCUCAAUAAGAAAACCAAAGCUUGUCUACUACUCUAUCCGUUUCAAAAUGCAAGUAGUUUUAAAUUUUCUAUAUAGAUAGGUCCUCCUAUGCACCUAAAUAUAGAGUUAUACCUAGAUAAUUAACAUCUAUAGCCUUAACCAGAGCUUGGAGACCCCUUGCAACUGUAGCAGCCGCCAUGGAAGUUGGAGGUGUUGUCUAGGGUUUCACUACGACACUACCUGGAAGGCUUAUUAUAGGGAGAAGUUGUAGGGAGAAGUUGGGCCGAUUGGAACGAAUGAGGCUGUAGAGGCUUAUUAUAGGGAGAGGGGUCUAGCCCAGUGGAACGAAUGGGAGGGGAAAAUGUUUAUGGAGGGGUGUGUGUGUGGGGGGGGGGGGUCGAAAUAUUCCUUUAACUGAUCAAAUAGGAGAUAGCUAAUUUUUUUAGCCUAACUAAUCCAAACAAGGGAACAUGAGAAUUGAUUGAUAAAUUCUUGGAAUCGUCCACAUGAUACCCGUCAAUUUCUCAACCAAAGAUCAUUUCUCAAUCAGAAAACCAAAGCUUGUCUACUACUCCAUUCGUUUGAAAAUGCAAGUACUUUUGAAUUUUCUAUACAGAUAGGUCCUGCUAUGCACCUAAAUAUAGAGUUAUACCUAGAUUAAUAACAUCUAUAGCCUUGACCAGAGCUUGGAGACCCCUUGCAACUGUAGCAGCCGCCAUGGGAAUUGGAGGUGUUGUCUAGGGUUUCACUACGACACUACCUGGAAGGCUUAUUAUAGGGAGAAGUUGUAGGGAGAAGUUGGGCCGAGUGGAACGAAUGAGGCUGUAGAGGCUUAUUAUAGGGAGAGGGGUCUGGCCCAAUGGAACGAAUGGGAGGGAAAAAUGUUCAUGGAGGGGUGUGUGGGGGGGUCCAAAUAUUUCUUUAACUGAUCAAAUAGGAGAUAGCAAAUUUUUUUAGCCAAACUGAUCCAAAUAAGGGAACAUGAGAAUUGAUUGAUAAAUUCUUGGAAUCGGCCACAUGAUACCCGUCAAUUUUUCAACCAAAGAUCAUUUCUCAAUCAGAAAACCAAAGGUUGUCUACUACUCCAUCCGUUUCAAAAUGCAAGUAGUUUUGAAUUUUCUAUACAGAUAGGUGCUGCUAUUCACCUAAAUAUAGAGUUGUACCUAGAUAAAUAACAUCUAUAGCCUUGACCAGAGCUUGGAGACCCCUUGCAACUGUAGCAUCCGACAUGGGAGUUGGAGGUGUUGUCUAGGGUUUCACUACGACACUACCUCGAAGGUUUAUUAUAGGGAGAAGUUGUAGGGAGAAGUUGGGCCGAGUGGAACGAAUGAGGCUGUAGAGGCUUAUUAUAGGGAGAGGGGUCUGGCCCAGUGGAACGAAUGGGAGGGAAAAAUAUUCAUGGAGGGGUGUGUGUGUGUGGGGGGGGGGGUCCAAAUAUUCCUUUAACUGAUAAAAUUGGAGAUAGCUAAUUUUUUUGGCCUAACUGAUCCAAACAAGGGAACAUGAGAAUUGAUUGAUAAAUUCUUGGAAUCGGCCACAUGAUACCCGUCAAUUUCUCAACCAAAGAUCAUUUCUCAAUCAGAAAACAAAAGAUUGUCUACUACUCCAUCCGUUUCAAAAUGCAAGUAGUUUUGAAUUUUCUAUACAGAUAGGUCCUGCUAUGCACCUAAAUAUAGAGUUAUACCUAGAUAAAUAACAUCUAUAGCCUUGACCGGAGCUUGGAGAUCCCUUGCAACUGUAGCAGCCGCCAUGGGAGUUGGAGGUGUUGUCUAGGGUUUCACUACGACACUACCUGGAAGGCUUAUUAUAGGGAGAAAUUGUAGGGAGAAGUUGGGCCGAGUGGAAGGAAUGAGGCUGUAGAGGCUUAUUAUAGGGAGAGGGGUCUGGCCCAGUGGAACGAAUGGGAGGGAAAAAUGUUCACGGAGGGGUGUGUGUGGGGGGGGUCCAAAUAUUUCUUUAACUGAUCAAAUAGGAGAUAGCUAAUUUUUUUAGCCUAACUGAUCCAAACAAGGGAACAUGAGAAUUGAUUGAUAAAUUCUUGGAAUCGGCCACAUGAUACCCGUCAAUUUCUCAACCAAAGAUCAUUUCUCAAUAAGAAAACCAAAGCUUGUCUACUACUCUAUCCGUUUCAAAAUGCAAGUAGUUUUGAAUUUUCUAUACAGAUAGGUCCUCCUAUGCACCUAAAUAUAGAGUUAUACCUAGAUAAUUAACAUCUAUAGCCUUAACCAGAGCUUGGAGACCCCUUGCAACUGUAGCAGCCGCUAUGGAAGUUGGAGGUGUUUUCUAGGGUUUCACUACGACACUACCUGGAAGGCUUAUUAUAGGGAGAAGUUGUAGGGAGAAGUUGGGCCGAUUGGAACGAAUGAGGCUGUAGAGGCUUAUUAUAGGGAGAGGGGUCUGGCCCAGUGGAACGAAUGGGAGGGGAAAAUGUUUAUGGAGGGGUGUGUGUGUGUGGGGGGGGGUCCAAAUAUUCCUUUAACUGAUCAAAUAGGAGAUAGCUAAUUUUUUUAGCCUAACUAAUCCAAACAAGGGAACAUGAGAAUUGAUUGAUAAAUUCUUGGAAUCGGCCACAUGAUACCCGUCAAUUUCUCAACCAAAGAUCAUUUCUCAAUCAGAAAACCAAAGCUUGUCUACUACUCCAUCCGUUUCAAAAUGCAAGUAGUUUUGAAUUUUCUAUACAGAUAGGUCCUGCUAUGCACCUAAAUAUAGAGUUAUACCUAGAUUAAUAACAUCUAUAGCCUUGACCAGAGCUUGGAGACCCCUUGCAACUGUAGCAGCCGCCAUGGGAGUUGGAGGUGUUGUCUACGGUUUCACUACGACACUACCUGGAAGGCUUAUUAUAGGGAGAAGUUGUAGGGAGAAGUUGGGCCGAGUGGAACGAAUGAGGUUGUAGAGGCUUAUUAUAGGGAGAGGGGUCUGGCCCAGUGGAACGAAUGGGAGGGAAAAAUGUUCAUGGAGGGGUGUGUGGGGGGGGUCCAAAUAUUUCUUUAACUGAUCAAAUAGGAGAUAGCUAAUUUUUUUGGCUAACUGAUCCAAACAAGGGAACAUGAGAUUUGAUUGAUAAAUUCUUGGAAUCGGCCACAUGAUACCCGUCAAUUUCUCAACCAAAGAUUAUUUCUCAAUCAGAAAACAAAAGAUUGUCUACUACUCCAUCCGUUUCAAAAUGCAAGUAGUUUUGAAUUUUCUAUACAGAUAGGUCCUGCUAUGCACCUAAAUAUAGAGUUAUACCUAGAUAAAUAACAUCUAUAGCCUUGACCGGAGCUUGGAGAUCCCUUGCAACUGUAGCAGCCGCCAUGGGAGUUGGAGGUGUUGUCUAGGGUUUCACUACGACACUACCUGGAAGGCUUAUUAUAGGGAGAAGUUGUAGGGAGAAGUUGGGCCGAGUGGAACGAAUGAGGCUGUAGAGGCUUAUUAUAGGGAGAGGGGUCUGGCCCAGUGGAACGAAUGGGAGGGAAAAAUGUUCAUGGAGGGGUGUGUGGGGGGGGUCCAAAUAUUUCUUUAACUGAUCAAAUAGGAGAUAGCUAAUUUUUUUAGCCUAACUGAUCCAAACAAGGGAACAUGAGAAUUGAUUGAUAAAUUCUUGGAAUCGGCCACAUGAUACUCGUCAAUUUCUCAACCAAAGAUCAUUUCUCAAUCAGAAAACCAAAGCUUGUCUACUACUCCAUCCGUUUCAAAAUGCAAGUAGUUUUGAAUUUUCUAUACAGAUAGGUCCUGCUAUGCACCUAAAUAUAGAGUUAUACCUAGAUAAAUAACAUCUAUAGCCUUAACCAGAGCUUGGAGACCCCUUGCAACUGUAGCAGCCGCCAUGGGAGUUGGAGGUGUUGUCUAGGGUUUCACUACGAUACUACCUGGAAGGCUUAUUAUUGGGAGAAGUUGUAGGGAGAAGUUGGGCCGAGUGGAACGAAUGAGGCUGGAGAGGCUUAUUAUAGGGAGAGGGGUCUGGCCCAGUGGAACGAAUGGGAGGGGAAAAUGUUUAUGGAGGGGUGUGUGUGUGGGGGGGGGGUCCAAAUAUUCGUUUAACUGAUCAAAUAGGAGAUAGCUAAUUUUUUUAGCCUAACUGAUCCAAACAAGGGAAAAUGAGAAUUGAUUGAUAAAUUCUUGGAAUUGGUCACAUGAUACCCGUCAAUUUCUCUAACCAAAGAUCAUUUCUCAAUCAGAAAACCAAAGCUUGUCUACUACUCCAUCCGUUUCAAAAUGCAAGUAGUUUUGAAUUUUCUAUACAGAUAGGUCCUGCUAUGCACCUAAAUAUAGAGUUAUACCUAGAUAAAUAACAUCUAUAGCCUUGACCAGAGCUUGGAGACCCCUUGAAACUGUAGCAGCCGCCAUGGGAGUUGGAGGUGUUGUCUAGGGUUUCACUACGACACUACCUGAAAGGCUUAUUAUAGGGAGAAGUUGUAGGGAGAAGUUGGGCCGAGUGGAACGAAUGAGGCUGUAGAGGCUUAUUAUAGGGACAGGGGUCUGGCCCAGUGGAACGAAUGGGAGGGAAAAAUGUUCAUGGAGGGGUGUGUGGGGGGGGUCCAAAUAUUUCUUUAACUGAUCAAAUAGGAGAUAGCUAAUUUUUUUAGCCUAACUGAUCCAAACAAGGGAACAUGAGAAUUGAUUGAUAAAUUCUUGGAAUCGGCCACAUGAUACCCGUCAAUUUCUCAACCAAAGAUCAUUUCUCAAUCAGAAAACCAAAGCUUGUCUACUACUCCAUCCGUUUCAAAAUGCAAGUAGUUUUGAAUUUUCUAUACAGAUAGGUCCUGCCUAUGCACCUAAAUAUAGAGUUAUACCUAGAUAAAUAACAUCUAUAGCCUUAACCAGCAGCUUGGAGACCCCUUGCAACUGUAGCAGCCGCCAUGGGAGUUGGAUGUGUUGUCUAGGGUUUCACUACGACACUACCUGGAAGGCUUAUUAUAGGGAGAAGUUGUAGGGAGAAGGUUGGCCGAUUGGAACGAAUGAGGCUGUAGAGGCUUAUUAUAGGGAGAGGGGUCUGGCCCAGUGGAACGAAUGGGAGGGAAAAAUAGUUCAUGGAGGGGUGUGUGUGUGGGGGGGGGGGUCCAAAUAUUCCUUUAACUGAUAAAAUAGGAGAUAGCUAAUUUUUUUAGCCUAACUGAUCCAAACAAGGCGAACAUGAGAAUUGAUUGAUAAAUUCUUGGAAUCGGCCACAUGAUACCCGUCAAUUUCUCAACCAAAGAUCAUUUCUCAAUCAGAAAACCAAAGAUUGUCUACUACUCCAUCCGUUUCAAAAUGCAAGUAGUUUUAAAUUUUCUAUACAGAUAGGUCCUGCUAUGCACCUAAAUAUAGAGUUAUACCUAGAUAAAUAACAUCUAUAGCCUUGACCAGAGCUUGGAGAUCCCUUGCAACUGUAGCAGCCGCCAUGGGAGUUGGAGGUGUUGUCUAGGGUUUCACUACGACACUACCUGGAAGGCUUAUUAUAGGGAGAAGUUGUAGGGAGAAGGUUGGGCCAAGUGGAACGAAUGAGGCUGUAGAGGCUUAUUAUAGGGAGAGGGGUCUGGCCCAGUGGAACGAAUGGGAGGGAAAAAUGUUCAUGGAGGGGUGUGUGUGGGGGGGGGUCCAAAUAUUCCUUUAACUGAUCAAAUAGGAGAUAGCUAAUUUUUUAGCCUAACUGAUCCAAACAAGGGAACAUGAGAAUUGAUUGAUAAAUUCUUGGAAUCGGCCACAUGAUACCCGUCAAUUUCUCAACCAAAGAUCAUUUCUCAAUCAGAAAACCAAAGCUUGUCUACUACUCCAUCCGUUUCAAAAUGCAAGUAGUUUUGAAUUUUCUAUACAGAUAGGUCCUGCUAUGCACCUAAAUAUAGAGUUAUACCUAGAUAAAUAACAUCUAUAGCCUUGACCAGAGCUUGGAGACCCCUUGCAACUGUAGCAGCCGCCAUGGGAGUUGGAGGUGUUGUCUAGGGUUUCACUACGACACUACCUGGAAGGCUUAUUAUAGGGAGAAGUUGUAGGGAGAAGUUGGGCUGAGUGGAACGAAUGAGGCUGUAGAGGCUUAUUAUAGGGAGAGGGGUCUGGCCCAGUGGAACGAAUGGGAGGGCAAAAAUGUUCAUGGAGGGUGUGUGUUGGGGGGGGUUCCAAAUAUUCCUUUAACUGAUCAAAUAGGAGAUAGCUAAUUUUUUUAGCCUAACUGAUCCAAACAAGGGAACAUGAGAAUUGAUUGAUAAAUUCUUGGAAUCGGCCACAUGAUACCCGUCAAUUUCUCAACCAAAGAUCAUUUCUCAAUCAGAAAACCAAAGGUUGUCUACUACUCCAUCCGUUUCAAAAUGCAAGUAGUUUUGAAUUUUCUAUACAGAUAGGUCCUGCUAUGCACCUAAAUAUAGAGUUAUACCUAGAUAAAUAACAUCUAUAGCCUUGACCAGAGCUUGGAGACCCCUUGCAACUGUAGCAGCCGCCAUGGGAGUUGGAGGUGUUGUCUAGGGUUUCACUACGACACUACCUGGAAGGCUUAUUAUAGGGAGAAGUUGUAGGGAGAAGUUGGGCUGAGUGGAACGAAUGAGGCUGUAGAGGCUUAUUAUAGGGAGAGGGGUCUGGCCCAGUGGAACGAAUGGGAGGCAAAAAUGUUCAUGGAGGGGUGUGUGUGGGGGGGGGGUCCAAAUAUUCCUUUAACUGAUCAAAUAGGAGAUAGCUAAUUUUUUAGCCUAACUGAUCCAAACAAGGGAACAUGAGCAUUGAUUGAUAAAUUCUUGGAAUCGGCCACAUGAUACCCGUCAACCAAAGAUCAUUUCUCAAUCAGAAAACCAAAGCUUGUCUACUACUCUAUCCGUUUCAAAAUGCAAGUAGUUUUGAAUUUUCUAUACAGAUAGGUCCUGCUAUGCACCUAAAUAUAGAGGUAUACCUAGAUAAAUAACAUCUAUAGCCUUAACCAGAGCUUGGAGACCCCUUGCAACUGUAGCAGCCGCCAUGGGAGUUGGAUGUGUUGUCUAGGGUUUCACUACGACACUACCUGGAAGGCUUAUUAUAGAGAGAUGUUGUAGGGAGAAGGUUGGCCAAUUGGACCGAAUGAGGCUGUAGAGGCUUAUUAUAGGGAGAGGGGUCUGGCCCAGUGGAACGAAUGGGAGGGAAAAAUGUUCAUGGAGGGGUGUGUGUGGGGGGGGGGGGGUCCAAAUAUUCCUUUAACUGAUCAAAUAGGAGAUAGCUAAUUUUUUUAGCCUAACUAAUCCAAACAAGGGAACAUGAGAAUUGAUUGAUAAAUUCUUGGAAUCGGCCACAUGAUACCCGUCAAUUUCUCAACCAAAGAUCAUUUCUCAAUCAGAAAACCAAAGCUUGUCUACUACUCCAUCCGUUUCAAAAUGCAAGUAGUUUUGAAUUUUCUAUACAGAUAGGUCCUGCUAUGCACCUAAAUAUAGAGUUAUACCUAGAUAAAUAACAUCUAUAGCCUUGACCAGAGCUUGGAGACCCCUUGCAACUGUAGCAGCCGCCAUGGGAGUUGGAGGUGUUGUCUAGGGUUUCACUACGACACUACCUGGAAGGCUUAUUAUAGGGAGAAGUUGUAGGGAGAAGUUGGGCCGAGUGGAACGAAUGAGGCUUUAGAGGCUUAUUAUAGGGAGAGGGGUCUGGCCCAGUGGAACGAAUGGGAGGCAAAAAUGUUCAUGGAGGGGUGUGUGGGGGGGGGGUCCAAAUAUUCCUUUAACUGAUCAAAUAGGAGAUAGCUAAUUUUUUAGCCUAACUGAUCCAAACAAGGGAACAUGAGAAUUGAUUGAUAAAUUCUUGGAAUCGGCCACAUGAUACCCGUCAAUUUCUCAACCAAAGAUCAUUUCUCAAUCAGAAAACCAAAGCUUGUCUACUACUCUAUCCGUUUCAAAAUGCAAGUAGUUUUGAAUUUUCUAUACAGAUAGGUCCUGCUAUGCACCUAAAUAUAGAGGUAUACCUAGAUAAAUAACAUCUAUAGCCUUAACCAGAGCUUGGAGACCCCUUGCAACUGUAGCAGCCGCCAUGGGAGUUGGAUGUGUUGUCUAGGGUUUCACUACGACACUACCUGGAAGGCUUAUUAUAGAGAGAUGUUGUAGGGAGAAGGUUGGCCAAUUGGACCGAAUGAGGCUGUAGAGGCUUAUUAUAGGGAGAGGGGUCUGGCCCAGUGGAACGAAUGGGAGGGAAAAAUGUUCAUGGAGGGGUGUGUGUGGGGGGGGGUCCAAAUAUUCCUUUAACUGAUCAAAUAGGAGAUAGCUAAUUUUUUUAGCCUAACUAAUCCAAACAAGGGAACAUGAGAAUUGAUUGAUAAAUUCUUGGAAUCAGCCACAUGAUACCCGUCAAUUUCUCAACCAAAGAUCAUUUCUCAAUCAGAAAACCAAAGCUUGUCUACUAAUCCAUCCGUUUCAAAAUGCAAGUAGUUUUGAAUUUUCUAUACAGAUAGGUCCUGCUAUGCACCUAAAUAUAGAGUUAUACCUAGAUAAAUAACAUCUAUAGCCUUGACCAGAGCUUGGAGACCCCUUGCAACUGUAGCAGCCGCCAUGGGAGUUGGAGGUGUUGUCUAGGGUUUCACUACGACACUACCUGGAAGGCUUAUUAUAGGGAGAAGUUGUAGGGAGAAGUUGGGCCGAGUGGAACGAAUGAGGCUUUAGAGGCUUAUUAUAGGGAGAGGGGUCUGGCCCAGUGGAACGAAUGGGAGGCAAAAAUGUUCAUGGAGGGGUGUGGGGGGGGGGGGUCCAAAUAUUCCUUUAACUGAUCAAAUAGGAGAUAGCUAAUUUUUUAGCCUAACUGAUCCAAACAAGGGAACAUGAGAAUUGAUUGAUAAAUUCUUGGAAUCGGCCACAUGAUACCCGUCAAUUUCUCAACCAAAGAUCAUUUCUCAAUCAGAAAACCAAAGCUUGUCUACUACUCCAUCCGUUUCAAAAUGCAUGUAGUUUUGAAUUUUCUAUACAGAUAGGUCCUGCUAUGCACCUAAAUAUAGAGUUAUACCUAGAUAAAUAACAUCUAUAGCCUUAACCAGAGCUUGGAGACCCCUUGCAACUGUAGCAGCCGCCAUGGGAGUUGGAUGUGUUGUCUAGGGUUUCACUACGACACUACCUGGAAGGCUUAUUAUAGAGAGAUGUUGUAGGGAGAAGGUUGGCCAAUUGGAACGAAUGAGGCUGUAGAGGCUUAUUAUAGGGAGAGGGGUCUGGCCCAGUGGAACGAAUGGGAGGGAAAAAUGUUCAUGGAGGGGUGUGUGUGGGGGGGGUCCAAAUAUUCCUUUAACUGAUCAAAUAGGAGAUAGCUAAUUUUUUUAGCCUAACUGAUCCAAACAAGGGAACAUGAGAAUUGAUUGAUAAAUUCUUGGAAUCGGCCACAUGAUACCCGUCAAUUUCUCAACCAAAGAUCAUUUCUCAAUCAGAAA
RNAcentral lists this long non-coding RNA (14205 nucleotides) under Setaria viridis. RNAcentral's name for it is "long non-coding RNA (SVIR_LNC005311)". The record is from RNAcentral. Lineage: Eukaryota; Viridiplantae; Streptophyta; Magnoliopsida; Poales; Poaceae.